Molecule: long non-coding RNA, 1276 nt
Organism: Gasterosteus aculeatus aculeatus (three-spined stickleback)
Lineage: Eukaryota; Metazoa; Chordata; Actinopteri; Perciformes; Gasterosteidae
Source: Ensembl
GUUGUAGAAGGCAACCGACUCAGUGCAUGAGAAGAAAUCAGCAGAAGAGAGAUGUUGGAGGUCUAUGGCAAAAGUGUGUAUCCGGGUUGAUCUUUUCCAGGUCCCUAUAGCAGAUUUGACGCUUGUCUUUGGUGUGUGGGGAAAGGAGUGGCAGCUCCAUUGAGAUGAUCUUGGCCAGAUCAUUCGCCAGAAGGUUGCUAAUAGGGGUGGAGUUGGAAAUGACCAGGUCCAGUGUGUGCCCCCUGGAGUGUGUGGGGACAUCGACGUGUUGUUGGAGGUUGAGGCAGUCCAGUAAAUUCAGCUGCAAAGUGGCAGGAGGGGUUGUCUACAUGCAUAUUAAUAUCUCCAAGUAUAAUAAUGUUGGCAGAGGUGGUGCAGAGUGUUGUGAGAAGGUCAUGUAUCUCUGAGAUGAAAGCUGAGUUGGGUUUGGGGGGCCGGUAGACGAGGAGCAUUGUCAUGGGGAAGGGGGUUUACAUUUGAAUGCUAGGCAUUCAAAUGAGGACAGUGUAGGCAGGGGGAGAGGAGACAGUUCCAAGAUCUGUCGGUGGAUGACAGCUAGGCCGCCACCACGACCAGUGCUGCGGGCUCUCUCCAGAUAGCUGUAACCGGGGGGGACAGACUUCAUUAAGUGCUGAGUAAAUCCCUGGCUGGUGCCAUGUUUCUGUCCGGCACAUGAAGUCUAAUCCCUUGUCCAUGAUGUGAUCUUGCAUGAAGGAUGCUUUAUUUGUGAGGAAUUGCGUGUUGAAAAGUUAUAUUUUGAGUGUUGAUGCUGUGGUGGAUCUCUGUAGAGGCCGUAGUACACUGUAAUCCACUACAUGUUUUCUGGCUUGCUUGGUGUAGCGAGAUCUCGCGGUGUUUCCCAAGCUGCUCAAUCGAGUGUGCAGAGAUCUCGCGAUGUUUCCCGUGUUGCUAGCACCGAGAGCGACACUGCUCUGAUGACGCGGCAGACGUGCGACAGUAGUCCAGAUGGAUGGAAUGUUUGAAGCAGGCUGGCCAGGCUGAUGGUAAACAAACUUUUGACGGGAACCUCUGUGGAUGUAACGUGGACGACGAUGAAUUCCAAGUUCUUUGAUGGCUGCAAUGCACUUUGGAAUGGAGCGGUUGUUGAAAGUUAGCAGCUGUGGGAUAGAGUACUUGAGCUUCAUGCCGGUGUUACACCCCUACUGGUUUUUCCACCUACUGGUUUCCCUACGCGUGCGUGUUUGUGUUCACUCCACAGCUGCAGAUACACACAGUAAUUUGUUGACCCUUAGUAUAAUUUAUUCAUUUCGUUGAC